RNAcentral lists this long non-coding RNA (221 nucleotides) under Sorghum bicolor (sorghum). RNAcentral describes it as "long non-coding RNA (SBIC_LNC014227)". Lineage: Eukaryota; Viridiplantae; Streptophyta; Magnoliopsida; Poales; Poaceae. The record is from RNAcentral.
UUUGUGGUUGGUUCUGAGUGGAAACCGAAUAGAACUUGGAGUCUGCUUGUUAAGAUAGCCUGAACUCCGUCUAUGUGAGUCCUUCUGUGAUCCAAAAAGAAAGAUAACUCCAUACUUGUUCGGCCUUACUCUAGAGAGAGAGAGUAUGUGUAGCGAAUUGCUCUUUGGUAUUCUUUUGUUCAUAUAAUCAGUUUUUGAGGUUGCCCAAAAAAAAGAAAAAA